This 202-nucleotide ribosomal RNA is filed under the name uncultured bacterium. RNAcentral's name for it is "partial 16S ribosomal RNA". It matches the Rfam family "Bacterial small subunit ribosomal RNA", at positions 524 to 726 of the family's 1533-position model. The record is from RNAcentral.
UACGAAGGGGGCUAGCGUUGCUCGGAAUUACUGGGCGUAAAGCGCACGUAGGCGGUCUUUAAGUCGGGGUGAAAUCCUGGAGCUCACUCCAGAACUGCCUUCGAUACUGGAAGACUUGAGUCCGGGAGAGGUGAGUGGGAACUGCGAGUGUAGAGGUGAAAUUCGUAGAUAUUCGCAAGAACACCAGUGGCGAAGGCGGACU